AGCGAACGCUGGCGGCAGGCCUAACACAUGCAAGUCGAACGAACUCUUCGGAGUUAGUGGCGGACGGGUGAGUAACACGUGGGAACGUGCCUUUUGGUUCGGAAUAACUCAGGGAAACUUGUGCUAAUACCGAAUGUGCCCUUCGGGGGAAAGAUUUAUCGCCAUUAGAGCGGCCCGCGUCUGAUUAGCUAGUUGGUGAGGUAACGGCUCACCAAGGCGACGAUCAAUAGCUGGUCUGAGAGGAUGACCAGCCACACUGGGACUGAGACACGGCCCAGACUCCUACGGGAGGCAGCAGUGGGGAAUCUUGCGCAAUGGGCGGAAGCCUGACGCAGCCAUGACGCGUGAAUGAUGAAGGUCUUAGGAUUGUAAAAUUCUUUCACCGGGGACGAUAAUGACGGUACCCGGAGAAGAAGCCCCGGCUAACUUCGUG
RNAcentral lists this ribosomal RNA (433 nucleotides) under uncultured bacterium. Its description in RNAcentral is "partial 16S ribosomal RNA". It matches the Rfam family "Bacterial small subunit ribosomal RNA", at positions 29 to 507 of the family's 1533-position model. The record is from RNAcentral.